CCUACGGGGGGCAGCAGUAGGGAAUCUUCCACAAUGGGCGAAAGCCUGAUGGAGCAACGCCGCGUGGGUGAAGAAGGUCUUCGGAUCGUAAAACCCUGUUGUUAGAGAAGAACGUGCGUGAGAGUAACUGUUCACGUUUCGACGGUAUCUAACCAGAAAGCCACGGCUAACUACGUGCCAGCAGCCGCGGUAAUACGUAGGUGGCAAGCGUUAUCCGGAUUUAUUUGGCGUAAAGGGAACGCAGGCGGUCUUUUAAGUCUGAUGUGAAAGCCUUCGGCUUAACCGGAGUAGUGCAUUGGAAACUGGGAGACUUGAGUGCAGAAGAGGAGAGUGGAACUCCAUGUGUAGCGGUGAAAUGCGUAGAUAUAUGGAAGAACACCAGUGGCGAAAGCGGCUCUCUGGUCUGUAACUGACGCUGAGGUUCGAAAGCGUGGGUAGCAAACAGGAUUAGAUACCCCUGUAGUC
Molecule: ribosomal RNA, 465 nt
Filed under: uncultured bacterium
Lineage: Bacteria
Description: partial 16S ribosomal RNA
Rfam family: Bacterial small subunit ribosomal RNA
Source: RNAcentral